GAUAGAUGCCAUCGCGUCGUGUCAAGUCCUCGAGCUCGUAGCAGUCGGCCUUGGCGGGUUGCAUUGGAUCUGGAGUGGAUUGAUUGUCAGACGCCGAUUUGAACUGAAUGACUGAAAUUGCUGCUUUGUGCUGAAGCACUUCUGGGCGACGAGAGAGGCCGUUAUAUGCUGUACAUUUUGAAAUUGUGUCUACUGGAUGGAGGAUAGGAGAGGUGGUCGAUGCAACCACAACACAUAUGUAUAUAGUUUAAGGAACUCUAAAUAAACCGAAUAUAAAUUAA
This is a long non-coding RNA of Drosophila miranda, 281 nucleotides long. RefSeq lists it as uncharacterized. Lineage: Eukaryota; Metazoa; Arthropoda; Insecta; Diptera; Drosophilidae. The record is from RefSeq and is a predicted model, not a curated record. The transcript is spliced from 2 exons.